This 253-nucleotide ribosomal RNA is filed under the name uncultured bacterium. Its description in RNAcentral is "partial 16S ribosomal RNA". It matches the Rfam family "Bacterial small subunit ribosomal RNA", at positions 524 to 776 of the family's 1533-position model. The record is from RNAcentral.
UACGAAGGGGGCUAGCGUUGCUCGGAAUCACUGGGCGUAAAGGGUGCGUAGGCGGUCUUUUAAGUCAGGGGUGAAAUCCUGGAGCUCAACUCCAGAACUGCCUUUGAUACUGAGGAUCUUGAGUUCGGGAGAGGUGAGUGGAACUGCGAGUGUAGAGGUGAAAUUCGUAGAUAUUCGCAAGAACACCAGUGGCGAAGGCGGCUCACUGGCCCGAUACUGACGCUGAGGCACGAAAGCGUGGGGAGCAAACAGG